Molecule: long non-coding RNA, 698 nt
Filed under: Olea europaea subsp. europaea
Lineage: Eukaryota; Viridiplantae; Streptophyta; Magnoliopsida; Lamiales; Oleaceae
Source: RNAcentral
GUUUCGGGUUCUCGUGGGUAGCUCCAGUUCGUAGCAGUGUGAGGUUUUUUGGUCGUUUUAGUAAUGAUAGUGGGCCUUAUCACAGUUUGGAUCUUCAGCUAUGGCUUCUCCUCCUCUAUACCAAGAUUGAUUUUGAUUCAGCUAGAAAUUCAGUUGACUCUGGGAACCAAAUCAAAGAAAGAAAUAAGGAAGGAUAAAGUACAAAACAAUAAGAGGAGAAGAAGAUGGAAACUGAAUUGAAAUUCAAUCCACUUAUCAACAAAGAUUCCAGAGAUUAUAGAUGAUCGCCUUCUUCACACAAGGAUUGUAUAAAUAUUUAUAUACGCCAACAAUGAGAGUGUGUUCCCAAUUUGCAAAAUAGAAAAAGCAUAAAAGGCCUAAUUACAAUUAAUAUAAUGCCUAAAACGACGUCACCUCCACUUCAAGUAUCAAUUAAUACAGUUAGCUUCCUUAUUCUUCCUCAUUGAUCUGGUCUUUUUCGUUCCCCAUUGAUUUCUCUAUUGAUUCUUCUCCUGACAACCUUUUUCCUCACUUUGAUCUUGUCUCCAAGAUAUACAGAGAGAUAUUUUUAUUGAAUCCAUUCAGCAUCCUCCCACUUUGAAUUGUCUGUGGGUAAAUCUGACCAUUUAAUAAGCUAUUAUUUUGCUGUGUGAUUCCAUUUGUUUACCACUCUGGUUUGUAAUAUGGCUUGAGGAAGG